Molecule: transfer RNA, 34 nt
Filed under: Furcifer cephalolepis
Lineage: Eukaryota; Metazoa; Chordata; Lepidosauria; Squamata; Chamaeleonidae
Description: partial tRNA-Leu
Source: RNAcentral
ACUUUUAAAGGAAAACAGCUAUCCAAUGGUCUUA